Molecule: long non-coding RNA, 206 nt
Filed under: Elaeis guineensis (African oil palm)
Lineage: Eukaryota; Viridiplantae; Streptophyta; Magnoliopsida; Arecales; Arecaceae
Description: long non-coding RNA (EGUI_LNC063712)
Source: RNAcentral
UCGCCAACUCUUCUUCGGGAGUUAUCCCUCAUUUCAGUCAUCUGAAGAUCAUAUUGAUGACUCCCACAGUCGGCUGAAUAUUUACAGCUUCCUCAAUCAGCUGGAGGUUGAGUCGAUGGAUCCCUCUGAUAUUUUUUGAGAUAGCCUCAUCGUAUCAGGGCCUCUAUUUCAUCCUUGAGCUGGAUGCAUUAUUCGGUGUCGUGGCC